GAUUAUAAAUUAAUCCACUGUUCAAAAAUCCUGAGUAUAGAAAUUUCUACUCGGAAGCUAAGCAGGGUCGGGCCUAGUUAGUACUUGGAUGAGAGACCACCUAGGAAGACCAGGUGCUGUAGGCG
Molecule: ribosomal RNA, 125 nt
Organism: Pteropus vampyrus (large flying fox)
Lineage: Eukaryota; Metazoa; Chordata; Mammalia; Chiroptera; Pteropodidae
Source: Ensembl